AACGAACGCUGGCGGCAGGCCUAACACAUGCAAGUCGAGCGGACCUUUCGGGGUCAGCGGCGGACGGGUGAGUAACGCGUGGGAAUAUGCCCUUCUCUACGGAAUAGUCCUGGGAAACUGGGGGUAAUACCGUAUACGCCCUUUGGGGAAAGAUUUAUCGGGGAAGGAUUAGCCCGCGUUGGAUUAGGUAGUUGGUGGGGUAAUGGCCUACCAAGCCGACGAUCCAUAGCUGGUUUGAGAGGAUGAUCAGCCACACUGGGACUGAGACACGGCCCAGACUCCUACGGGAGGCAGCAGUGGGGAAUCUUAGACAAUGGGGGCAACCCUGAUCUAGCCAUGCCGCGUGAGUGAUGAAGGCCUUAGGGUUGUAAAGCUCUUUCAGCUGGGAAGAUAAUGACGGUACCAGCAGAAGAAGCCCCGGCUAACUCCGUG
Molecule: ribosomal RNA, 432 nt
Filed under: uncultured bacterium
Lineage: Bacteria
Description: partial 16S ribosomal RNA
Rfam family: Bacterial small subunit ribosomal RNA
Source: RNAcentral